UACAGAGGCCCCAAGCAUUAUCCGGAUUUACUGGGCGUAAAGGGUGCGUAGGCGGUUAUAUUAGUCGGGUGUUAAAUCCUGAGGCUCAACCUCAGGCUCGCAUUCGAAACGGUAUAACUAGAAGGUGUGAGAGGUAAGCAGAACUCACGGUGUAGGGGUGAAAUCCGUUGAUAUCGUGGGGAAUACCAAAUGCGAAGGCAGCUUACUGGCACAUUCUUGACGCUGAGGCACGAAAGCGUGGGUAGCGAAUCGG
RNAcentral lists this unclassified non-coding RNA (253 nucleotides) under Candidatus Kaiserbacteria bacterium. Its description in RNAcentral is "contains 16S-23S intergenic spacer region". It matches the Rfam family "Bacterial small subunit ribosomal RNA", at positions 524 to 776 of the family's 1533-position model. Lineage: Bacteria; Candidatus Kaiseribacteriota. The record is from RNAcentral.